GAUGAACGCUGGCGGCGUGCCUAAUACAUGCAAGUCGAGCGAACAGACGAGGAGCUUGCUCCUCUGACGUUAGCGGCGGACGGGUGAGUAACACGUGGAUAACCUACCUAUAAGACUGGGAUAACUUCGGGAAACCGGAGCUAAUACCGGAUAAUAUAUUGAACCGCAUGGUUCAAUAGUGAAAGACGGUUUUGCUGUCACUUAUAGAUGGAUCCGCGCCGCAUUAGCUAGUUGGUAAGGUAACGGCUUACCAAGGCAACGAUGCGUAGCCGACCUGAGAGGGUGAUCGGCCACACUGGAACUGAGACACGGUCAAGACUCCUACGGGAGGCAGCAGUAGAGAAUCUUCCGCAAUGGGCGAAAGCCUGACGGAGCAACACCGCGUGAGUGAUGAAGGUCUUCGGAUCGUAAAACUCUGUUAUUAGGGAAGAACAAAUGUGUAAGUAACUAUGCACGUCUUGACGGUACCUAAUCAGAAAGCCACGGCUAACUACGUG
This 497-nucleotide ribosomal RNA is filed under the name uncultured bacterium. RNAcentral describes it as "partial 16S ribosomal RNA". It matches the Rfam family "Bacterial small subunit ribosomal RNA", at positions 28 to 507 of the family's 1533-position model. The record is from RNAcentral.